Molecule: ribosomal RNA, 519 nt
Filed under: Blastocystis sp.
Lineage: Eukaryota; Bigyra; Opalinata; Blastocystidae
Description: SSU rRNA
Rfam family: Eukaryotic small subunit ribosomal RNA
Source: RNAcentral
GCUCGUCUCAAAGAUUAAGCCAUGCAUGUGUAAGUAUAAAUAAUUUUACUUUGAAACUGCGAAUGGCUCAUUAUAUCAGUUAUAGUUUAUUAGAAAUAUUUUACUACUUGGAUAACCGUAGUAAUUCUAGGGCUAAUACAUGAGUAAAACCUCAACUUCGGAAGAGGUGUGUUUAUUAGUAUGAAAACCAUAUAUCUUCGGAUAUAAUAGUGAGUAAUAAUAACCUUUCGUAUCGUAUGUCGUAAGAUAACGAUAGUUCUUUCAAGUUUCUGCCCUAUCAGCUUUCGAUGGUAGUAUAUGGGACUACCAUGGCAGUAACGGGUAACGAAGAAUUUGGGUUCGAUUUCGGAGAGGGAGCCUGAGAGAUGGCUACCACAUCCAAGGAAGGCAGCAGGCGCGUAAAUUACCCAAUCCUGACAUAGGGAGGUAGUGACAAUAAAUCACAAUGCGGAACUUUUAGUUUUGCAAUUGGAUUGAGAACAAUGUACAAAUGUUAUCGAUAAACAAUUGGAGGGCAAG